UUCAGUGGUUACUUUUGCAGAUUUUCCUCAAAAACAAAAUGUUCAUAUAUAUACGGCCUUUGAGUUAUCGUCUGCCCCUUGAUCGUCUCUUCACAAUGAUCUUGGUCUUUUCUUCUAAUCCGUCGACGCGCGCGAAAAUCACAGAAAACUGGUGAUGGCAGAAACCAGACUAUUUGUUGCCAAUUCAUAGAUUUGUGAUUUUCUUGCGAUUGUGUGCAUUAUAGUUCAACUUUCGACACUCCCGUCGAACUCUUCGAGACGAUUCUUUAUCUCAAAUUUCAACCUCCGAUCUAGGCGAUACUUCCUGGUGCGUAAUCUUUUUUAUGUUCGACUCGUUCUAAUUGUGUGCGUUUUUCUGGCCGUCUAUGAUUCAUUGGAACUGGAAUGAAAAGUCAUUUGGUUUGGUUUGGUUUUUGGCUUCUUGCACUUUGAUUCUGCAUCCGAGACCGGCGUAGUCGCAAAUUAGAAGAUCGGAUAAACUUUGAAGGAGAUCGAGUUGCCUGGCAUCUCCUGAACUGUGAAUUCUGAACUGAUUUAUCACUCAUUCUUCAACCUCAACAUCCGACGAAAGAGACAGAAAGAGAAUAGACAGUUCAAGAUGAAGGAAGGACCAGAGCAUUUUUGCCCAUCUAACCUGCACAACUCGGCUUCGUAUACUACGGUAUUGUGAU
This is a non-coding RNA of Momordica charantia (bitter melon), 671 nucleotides long. The record is from RefSeq and is a predicted model, not a curated record. NCBI's taxonomy places the organism in Eukaryota, Viridiplantae, Streptophyta, Magnoliopsida, Cucurbitales, Cucurbitaceae.